UACGGAGGAUGCGAGCGUUAUCCGGAUUUAUUGGGUUUAAAGGGUGCGUAGGCGGAUCGCUAAGUCAGUGGUCAAAUUGAGGGGCUCAACCCCUUCCCGCCAUUGAAACUGGCGAUCUUGAGUGGAAGAGAAGUAUGCGGAAUGCGUGGUGUAGCGGUGAAAUGCAUAGAUGUCACGCAGAACCCCGAUUGCGAAGGCAGCAUGCCGGCUUCCUACUGACGCUGAAGCACGAAAGCGUGGGGAUCGAACAGG
Molecule: ribosomal RNA, 252 nt
Filed under: uncultured bacterium
Lineage: Bacteria
Description: partial 16S ribosomal RNA
Rfam family: Bacterial small subunit ribosomal RNA
Source: RNAcentral